RNAcentral lists this ribosomal RNA (465 nucleotides) under Vreelandella stevensii. RNAcentral describes it as "partial 16S ribosomal RNA". It matches the Rfam family "Bacterial small subunit ribosomal RNA", at positions 338 to 795 of the family's 1533-position model. Lineage: Bacteria; Pseudomonadati; Pseudomonadota; Gammaproteobacteria; Oceanospirillales; Halomonadaceae. The record is from RNAcentral.
CCUACGGGUGGCUGCAGUGGGGAAUAUUGGACAAUGGGCGAAAGCCUGAUCCAGCCAUGCCGCGUGUGUGAAGAAGGCCUUCGGGUUGUAAAGCACUUUCAGUGGGGAAGAAAGCCUUGGGGCUAAUACCCUCGAGGAAGGACAUCACCCACAGAAGAAGCACCGGCUAACUCCGUGCCAGCAGCCGCGGUAAUACGGAGGGUGCGAGCGUUAAUCGGAAUUACUGGGCGUAAAGCGCGCGUAGGCGGUCUGAUAAGCCGGUUGUGAAAGCCCCGGGCUCAACCUGGGAACGGCAUCCGGAACUGGCAGGCUAGAGUGCAGGAGAGGAAAGUAGAAUUCCCGGUGUAGCGGUGAAAUGCGUAGAGAUCGGGAGGAAUACCAGUGGCGAAGGCGGCCUACUGGACUGACACUGACGCUGAGGUGCGAAAGCGUGGGUAGCAAACAGGAUUAGAUACCCCUGUAGUC